Molecule: ribosomal RNA, 390 nt
Filed under: uncultured bacterium
Lineage: Bacteria
Description: partial 16S ribosomal RNA
Rfam family: Bacterial small subunit ribosomal RNA
Source: RNAcentral
UGAGGAAUAUUGGACAAUGGGUGAGAGCCUGAUCCAGCCAUCCCGCGUGAAGGACGACUGCCCUAUGGGUUGUAAACUUCUUUUAUACUGGGAUAAACCUACCCUCGUGAGGGUAGCUGAAGGUACAGUAUGAAUAAGCACCGGCUAACUCCGUGCCAGCAGCCGCGGUAAUACGGAGGGUGCAAGCGUUAUCCGGAUUUAUUGGGUUUAAAGGGUCCGUAGGCGGGCUCGUAAGUCAGUGGUGAAAUCUCAUAGCUUAACUAUGAAACUGCCAUUGAUACUGCGGGUCUUGAGUAAAGUAGAAGUGGCUGGAAUAAGUAGUGUAGCGGUGAAAUGCAUAGAUAUUACUUAGAACACCAAUUGCGAAGGCAGGUCACUAUGCUUUAACUG